AGGAUUGUAGUUAACAAUAACAUUUGGUUUGCAUUCAAAAAGUACUGGUAUCUCAGUCAAUCUUA
Molecule: transfer RNA, 65 nt
Filed under: Pedetontinus luanchuanensis
Lineage: Eukaryota; Metazoa; Arthropoda; Insecta; Archaeognatha; Machilidae
Description: tRNA-Ala
Rfam family: tRNA
About the family: Transfer RNA (tRNA) molecules are approximately 80 nucleotides in length. Their secondary structure includes four short double-helical elements and three loops (D, anti-codon, and T loops).
Source: RNAcentral